UUCCUUUGCAAAUUUUAUUUGAAAAAUUAUUAUAUUUUCGGGUUAUUAAUAUAUAUAACUAUGAGUCAAGUUCGUAAAUUUAUCUAGUCGCGCCCCUAGUUAGAUAGAUAAUUUUAAGUUAUAAUUUAUAACUUUAGCAAAUAAAAACUCUUAUGCUCAAAAUUGGGCCUAAAUAAAUAUUUUCAUAAUUGGGCCUUAUCUAUUUAUCUAUGUUUCAUUGGGCUUGAAUUAAAUAUGAGCCCAUCACAUUUAGUAAAUCAUCAAUAUUUAUUCAUUAACUUUACUGACACUUGCUUUUGAGCAUAUACGUAUUUUCAUCUUUAGCCACUUAAUUUCUCUUUUCCUUUUUCAGCCACAUGAUUUUACUUAAAAAUCUUCAGCCACAAAUUUUUGAUAUUUUCAUGUAUCGAUUAAACCUGAUCUUGAAAAUAUUCAAUCUUGAACAGCAAGUUCAAUUACUCAGCCACAUAUUUCACUUUCAAAUUCUUGAAGAGCAAGUAAUUUAUCCUAUUUAAACCCCACUUUAUCAUCUCUCAAUUUAGAAGCAAGUCACCGACUUUUCCAUCUGAUUCUCUUCCCCAUAGAACUCAUUCUGCUAUUUCUCACUGCAGAGUUUCAAAUGGUGCGGCGCGACUAAGACAUGGAUUUUACUUUGAAUUAUCAGAAUUAACUUUCAAGUUCAAGUUCAAAAUUCAGGUGUGGGAUUUAUUUCAGUACAUGCUGUGGUUAAUUCUUGUCCAUUUUAAUAUUAUGUGUUUACCAUAUGUGAGUUGCAUUAAAUUAUAUCGCUAGGGGCCCGCUCAAUGGGUCCAGGACAUUAAAGUCCUUGGUAUGCCACAAUGCGAUUUCAUGUUAAAGUUAUGGUUGCAACCAGUCGCCAGGGGCCGGCUCAAUCGGUCCAGGACGGAAAGGUCCUUGGUAUGCCACCGUGCGACUUUCAGUCACGAAUGUAUUGAUCAUAUGUGAUUCUCAUUUUAUUAACGUGGACAAUGAUUGCAUGUUCCCACACUGAGUGUACCCUGUAUGCUCAUCCCAUACUUAACAUUUUCAGGUUUUAAAGGCCGGAGGCGCGUGGAAGGUCAAAUGGCGAAUCAAAUAUUUUGAAUUCAGUCUUUCUUAAAAAUGUUAUAUUUAGUAAAGUAAUUUUUGUUAAUAAAAUAUUUAUUUCACUAUUUUUCUUAUUAAAUAUUUAUUUAUAAUCAUGAUUUUCCGCGUGCGUUUUCAUGUAAAAUUAAAAUGGAUUUGGGUGUCACAAGGUGGUAUCAGAGCAGGUCUACUUUCCUGUAGACUCUGCAAAAUAAAAAUUUCAUAAAAUUUUUAAAAGUCGUGUGUGAGAAAGUCAUUCGACCACUGCGCGCUCCGACUCCAAGGUAAAAGUAUUUGACAAGUUUUCAAGGGGAUGAGUAUAAAUUAUUUACGUUGAAAGUAUGUUGUUUUGCUGCAAUGAUUGAAGUAUUAUCAGAAAGUUCAAGUUCAUUAUGCAAGUUAUUAUGAGAAAGUUCAGUAUUCAUGUUAUUAUGUUGAAGAUUAUUGCAGCUAUGAAUUGUUAAAUUUCGAGGACGAAAUUUUUUUAAGUGGGUAGGUUUGUCACAGCCCAAAACCAUUUACUUCCUUUGCAAAUUUUAUUUGAAAAAUUAUUAUAUUUUCGGGUUAUUAAUAUAUAUAACUAUGAGUCAAGUUCGUAAAUUUAUCUAGUCGCGCCCCUAGUUAGAUAGAUAAUUUUAAGUUAUAAUUUAUAACUUUAGCAAAUAAAAACUCUUAUGCUCAAAAUUGGGCCUAAAUAAAUAUUUUCAUAAUUGGGCCUUAUCUAUUUAUCUAUGUUUCAUUGGGCUUGAAUUAAAUAUGAGCCCAUCACAUUUAGUAAAUCAUCAAUAUUUAUUCAUUAACUUUACUGACACUUGCUUUUGAGCAUAUACGUAUUUUCAUCUUUAGCCACUUAAUUUCUCUUUUCCUUUUUCAGCCACAUGAUUUUACUUAAAAAUCUUCAGCCACAAAUUUUUGAUAUUUUCAUGUAUCGAUUAAACCUGAUCUUGAAAAUAUUCAAUCUUGAACAGCAAGUUCAAUUACUCAGCCACAUAUUUCACUUUCAAAUUCUUGAAGAGCAAGUAAUUUAUCCUAUUUAAACCCCACUUUAUCAUCUCUCAAUUUAGAAGCAAGUCACCGACUUUUCCAUCUGAUUCUCUUCCCCAUAGAACUCAUUCUGCUAUUUCUCACUGCAGAGUUUCAAAUGGUAAUUUUAAGUUUUAAUAGCUAUGUAAUUCCAUUUCAGUACAUCAACUAUCCUAUUUUUCUGCAUAAACCAAACCCCCAUGAAUUCUUCUUCUCUUUUAGAAAAAUUAUUUCUUUUAGAAAACUAUUAAACAGCAGAUGCAUAUUCAUUGAAUUUUACAAGAAAGAAACUCAGAUUUAGAAACUUAGAUUGAUAAGGGAGUUGGGAUGAGUUGGGGUGAGGAGUUGCUCGCCGGAGCCAUGACCGCCGCUGCAUGUGAGAGGCGGAGGCGGCGGCGCGGUGGCCUUGACCGCUGCUGGGCUGUUCCGGUCGGGGAGAGGGCUGCUGAAGGACUGCUGCUAUUGACCAAACGAGGGAGAGAGGAGGGUGAAGGUGAUGCCGGGCAGGAGAGGGUGGUGGCUGGCGGCGAGGGUCGCCGGAGAAGGGUGGACGCCGCUGUUGGGUGCGGUGGGGGAGAGUGAGAGGGAGACUAGAGGUGAGGAAAGGGAGAGAGGGCGGCGGCGGCAGUACUGGAAGGGGAGGCGGCUGGGCGCGCCUCUGUUGAUACAGGGACGGCGGGGUGGCGUUGCGGUCGGACAGGAGAGAGGAAGGAAGCGGAGCCGCCGGCCUCCGGGGACGGCGCUGCCGUCCGGUGGCGGCGGCAGGAGGGCGCAGAAAGGGUGGGGUGAGCGGCUGAGAGAGAGGGAGUGAAGAGGGUGCGUGAGUUUGUGAAGUAUGGCGUGUGUGUGUGUGAGACUUUUAAAUUAGGGAAAAAGGAAAAUGGGCUUUGGGUUUAGGCUUAGGUUAAUGGGGCUUAAUUUUAUUAAGUGAUUGGACUCUUUUUAAAUAUCAUAUGGACUUCAUAUUUUAAAUUUUCAUUAUUACAUUGGACCUGAUUUUAUUAAAACCCAAAAUAAGCAUGCAUUUUUAUUAUUUAUUAGACCAAUUAUUUUUCAAACGAUUUUGAAAGUUUUAUAAAAUUUUCUUAAUUUUAAAUAUUUUUCAAAUAUAUUUAGGCCCUUAUAUGUUAUUAUUUGAAUUUAUUUGACUAGGUGCGGCGCGACUAAGACAUGGAUUUUACUUUGAAUUAUCAGAAUUAACUUUCAAGUUCAAGUUCAAAAUUCAGGUGUGGGAUUUAUUUCAGUACAUGCUGUGGUUAAUUCUUGUCCAUUUUAAUAUUAUGUGUUUACCAUAUGUGAGUUGCAUUAAAUUAUAUCGCUAGGGGCCCGCUCAAUGGGUCCAGGACAUUAAAGUCCUUGGUAUGCCACAAUGCGAUUUCAUGUUAAAGUUAUGGUUGCAACCAGUCGCCAGGGGCCGGCUCAAUCGGUCCAGGACGGAAAGGUCCUUGGUAUGCCACCGUGCGACUUUCAGUCACGAAUGUAUUGAUCAUAUGUGAUUCUCAUUUUAUUAACGUGGACAAUGAUUGCAUGUUCCCACACUGAGUGUACCCUGUAUGCUCAUCCCAUACUUAACAUUUUCAGGUUUUAAAGGCCGGAGGCGCGUGGAAGGUCAAAUGGCGAAUCAAAUAUUUUGAAUUCAGUCUUUCUUAAAAAUGUUAUAUUUAGUAAAGUAAUUUUUGUUAAUAAAAUAUUUAUUUCACUAUUUUUCUUAUUAAAUAUUUAUUUAUAA
Salvia miltiorrhiza (redroot sage) is the source of this 3838-nucleotide long non-coding RNA. RefSeq lists it as uncharacterized. NCBI's taxonomy places the organism in Eukaryota, Viridiplantae, Streptophyta, Magnoliopsida, Lamiales, Lamiaceae. The transcript has 2 exons. The record is from RefSeq and is a predicted model, not a curated record.